RNAcentral lists this unclassified non-coding RNA (325 nucleotides) under uncultured fungus. RNAcentral describes it as "partial contains 5.8S ribosomal RNA, internal transcribed spacer 2, and large subunit ribosomal RNA". Lineage: Eukaryota; Fungi. The record is from RNAcentral.
AACGCACCUUGCGCUCCUUGGUAUUCCUCGGAGCAUGCCUGUUUGAGUAUCAUGAAACUCUCAAAGAAAAUCUUUUGUUAAUUCAAUUGGUUUGCUUUGGACUUGGAGGUUUUUUUGCAGAUUGAUUUCUGCUCCUCUUAAAUAUAUUAGCUGGAUCUCAGUAUAUGCUCGGUUCCACUCGGCGUGAUAAGUAUCACUCGCUGAGGACACUGUUAAAAAGGUGGCCGGGAAAUACAGAUGAACCGCUUCAAACAGUCCAUUCACUUGGACAAAAUAAGUUUUAAGAUCUGAUCUCAAAUCAGGUAGGACUACCCGCUGAACUUAA